This 324-nucleotide long non-coding RNA is filed under the name Elaeis guineensis (African oil palm). Its description in RNAcentral is "long non-coding RNA (EGUI_LNC013374)". The record is from RNAcentral. Lineage: Eukaryota; Viridiplantae; Streptophyta; Magnoliopsida; Arecales; Arecaceae.
GACCCUUCAAUGGCUAGAGCAUUGUGCACUGGGCCGCCUUGUUAUUUUUGUAUGUUGAUACAUCUCUUUAAGUUACUCAAGCUUUUAUUCUGCCAGGACCCACAAUUCUUGGAAAUGUUGGCAUUCAGAUGAGUUUCCUCCUGUAUUUCUUAUUGCCUUAUAUGAUCUAUCUCACCCAUUUAGAUUUCUUAGAAUGCUCACCGCCGGCAAUGCUUCAUGCAUGCAACUUUGUUGGAAAUUGUAGUUCUUUGGCUCCCAAUUUAUGUUUUUCAACAAAUAAUAUAUUACUGUGCUAAUAUCCCAGCAAUACAAGUGCACCCCCAU